CCUUUUGUAAACCCUCAAGCCUUCAGACAUAAACAAACAUUGAAUCUUCACCUCGCCUCUCUCUCAAUCCUCUCUAAACCCUUAUUUUCAAUCUCACCUUCAAAUCUCACAGAUUCACCGAUUUCGAAGCUCCACCGCCACUACCAUCUUCACCCGCGAGGUAGCGAGAUUCACCGAUUCAUCGAUUUCACAGAUUCACCGAUUCAAAUCUCAUAGAUUCAUCGAUUUCAGAUCGGUCUGCACCGCCACCGCGAUUUCGAUUCAGAUCGAUCUGCGAUUUCGAUUCUCACUCUAGAUCUCUCUCUCAGAGAUUUAUCUUUGAUUUCAUCUCAGAGCGAUUUCGAUGUUUCUCUCUCGAUUUCGAAGCACCACCACCACCACCACCAUCUACACCAGCGAGUGGCUUAAUUUGAGCUGCUCCACCCCCCCCCUCUCUCUCUCUCUCUCUCUCGUUUGCUUGGGGAAGGAGGAUUCUCUUUAUGAAAGUACCUGAGACACGAAAGGCAUUGCUACUGUCUGAGAUUGA
Camellia sinensis is the source of this 526-nucleotide long non-coding RNA. RefSeq lists it as uncharacterized. The record is from RefSeq and is a predicted model, not a curated record. NCBI's taxonomy places the organism in Eukaryota, Viridiplantae, Streptophyta, Magnoliopsida, Ericales, Theaceae.